ACGAACGCUGGCGGCAGGCCUAACACAUGCAAGUCGAGCGCGCCCUUCGGGGUGAGCGGCGGACGGGUGAGUAACGCGUGGGAACGUGCCCUUUUCUACGGAAUAGCCUCGGGAAACUGAGAGUAAUACCGUAUACGCCCUUUGGGGGAAAGAUUUAUCGGAAAAGGAUCGGCCCGCGUUGGAUUAGGUAGUUGGUGGGGUAAUGGCCUACCAAGCCGACGAUCCAUAGCUGGUUUGAGAGGAUGAUCAGCCACACUGGGACUGAGACACGGCCCAGACUCCUACGGGAGGCAGCAGUGGGGAACCUUAGACAAUGGGGGCAACCCUGAUCUAGCCAUGCCGCGUGAGUGAUGAAGGCCUUAGGGUUGUAAAGCUCUUUCAGCUGGGAAGAUAAUGACGGUACCAGCAGAAGAAGCCCCGGCUAACUCCGUG
Molecule: ribosomal RNA, 432 nt
Filed under: uncultured bacterium
Lineage: Bacteria
Description: partial 16S ribosomal RNA
Rfam family: Bacterial small subunit ribosomal RNA
Source: RNAcentral